Long non-coding RNA from Strongylocentrotus purpuratus (purple sea urchin), 146 nucleotides. RefSeq lists it as uncharacterized. The transcript has 2 exons. The record is from RefSeq and is a predicted model, not a curated record. NCBI's taxonomy places the organism in Eukaryota, Metazoa, Echinodermata, Echinoidea, Camarodonta, Strongylocentrotidae.
CUUUUCAAAAUAAUUAUAUGUGGCUCUUCAUUGGUCAAUUUUGGAUUAUUUACUAAUUCAUUCAUCAAAUUGCAGAAAAUCGGUUAAUAUAAAGCAUACACUUUACUUUACAUGUUAAGUGGUAUAAUACAUAGACAGAAAUAUCA